UGCUUCAUGAUAAUGCACCAUCACAUGCAGCAGAACCGGUCAAGGAAACGAUUGGAGCGUUCAGUUGGGAAAUACUUUCGCACGCGGCUUACUCACCAGACUUGGCUCCGUCCGAUUACUAUUUAUUUUAGUUGGACGGAGCCAAGUCUGGUGAGUAAGCCGCGUGCGAAAGUAUUUCCCAACUGAACGCUUCAAUCGUUUCCUUGACCGGUUUUGCUGUAUGUGAUGGUGCAUUAUCAUGAAGCAAAAUUACUUUGUGUUGCCUUUUUGAUAUUCUGGACGUUUUUCACGCAAAGUUCGAUUCAAA
RNAcentral lists this unclassified non-coding RNA (307 nucleotides) under Bombus terrestris (buff-tailed bumblebee). Its description in RNAcentral is "misc RNA ENSBTSG00005031361.1". Lineage: Eukaryota; Metazoa; Arthropoda; Insecta; Hymenoptera; Apidae. The record is from RNAcentral.